GAUAACUACUGGAAACGGUAGCUAAUACCGCAUAACGUCGCAAGACCAAAGAGGGGGACCUUCGGGCCUCUUGCCAUCAGAUGUGCCCAGAUGGGAUUAGCUAGUAGGUGGGGUAACGGCUCACCUAGGCGACGAUCCCUACGUGGUCUGAGAGGAUGACCAGCCACACUGGAACUGAGACACGGUCCAGACUCCUACGGGAGGCAGCAGUGGGGAAUAUUGCACAAUGGGCGCAAGCCUGAUGCAGCCAUGCCGCGUGUAUGAAGAAGGCCUUCGGGUUGUAAAGUACUUUCAGCGGGGAGGAAGGUGUUGUGGUUAAUAACCGCAGCAAUUGACGUUACCCGCAGAAGAAGCACCGGCUAACUCCGUGCCAGCAGCCGCGGUAAUACGGAGGUGUCAAGCGUUAAUCGGAAUUACUGGGCGUAAAGCGCACGCAGGCGGUCUGCUAAGUCGGAUGUGAAAUCCCCGGGCUCAACCUGGGAACUGCAUUCGAAACUGGCAGGCUGGAGUCUUGUAGAGGGGGGUAGAAUUCCAGGUGUAGAGGUGAAAUGCGUAGAGAUCUGGAGGAAUACCGGUGGCGAAGGCGGCCCCCUGGACAAAGACUGAACGCUCAGGUGCGAAAGCGUGGGGAGCAAACAGGAUUAGAUACCCUGGUAGUCCACGCCGUAAACGAUGUCGACUUGGAGGUUGUGCCCUUGAGGCGUGGCUUCCGGAGCUAACGCGUUAAGUCGACCGCCUGGGGAGUACGGCCGCAAGGUUAAAACUCAAAUGAAUUGACGGGGGCCCGCACAAGCGGUGGAGCAUGUGGUUUAAUUCGAUGCAACGCGAA
Molecule: ribosomal RNA, 829 nt
Filed under: Enterobacter cloacae
Lineage: Bacteria; Pseudomonadati; Pseudomonadota; Gammaproteobacteria; Enterobacterales; Enterobacteriaceae
Description: bacterial SSU rRNA
Rfam family: Bacterial small subunit ribosomal RNA
Source: RNAcentral